RNAcentral lists this ribosomal RNA (453 nucleotides) under uncultured Porphyromonadaceae bacterium. RNAcentral's name for it is "partial 16S ribosomal RNA". It matches the Rfam family "Bacterial small subunit ribosomal RNA", at positions 341 to 792 of the family's 1533-position model. The record is from RNAcentral. Lineage: Bacteria; Pseudomonadati; Bacteroidota; Bacteroidia; Bacteroidales; Porphyromonadaceae.
ACGGGAGGCAGCAGUGGGGAAUAUUGGUCAAUGGGCGGAAGCCUGAACCAGCCAAGUCGCGUGAAGGAGGAAGGUCCUAUGGAUUGUAAACUUCUUUAGCCGGGGAGCAAUAAGCGCCACGUGUGGCGCGAUGCGAGUACCCGGAGAAUAAGGAUCGGCUAACUCCGUGCCAGCAGCCGCGGUAAUACGGAGGAUCCGAGCGUUAUCCGGAUUUAUUGGGUUUAAAGGGUGCGCAGGCGGUCGAUUAAGUCAGUGGUCAAAUCGUGGUGCUCAACGCCAUGCCGCCAUUGAUACUGGUUGACUUGAUUCCGGUCGAGGCAGGCGGAAUUCGUGGUGUAGCGGUGAAAUGCAUAGAUAUCACGAAGAACUCCGAUUGCGUAGGCAGCUUACCAGGCCGGCAAUGACGCUCAUGCACGAAAGUGCGGGGAUCGAACAGGAUUAGAUACCCUGGUA